This 80-nucleotide microRNA precursor is filed under the name Zootermopsis nevadensis. Its description in RNAcentral is "microRNA mir-927". Lineage: Eukaryota; Metazoa; Arthropoda; Insecta; Blattodea; Termopsidae. The record is from RNAcentral.
AACCAACGUUUCAGAGGUCAUACUGCCUCCGUCAUCAGGGCGCUGAUGGCAGAGGCAGUAUGACCUCUGAAACGUUGGUA